GUCGUAACAAGGUUUCCGUAGGUGAACCUGCGGAAGGAUCAUUACGGUGCAUCCGACCCACACGUGAACUGUUGAAAGGUGACAUGGUGUUUGGUUUCACGAUCAAGACCGGUCACCGCCCCUUCUUCCACACACACGAACAAUCGAGCUGAAGCGAUGGGGUAGCGGGCUUUUACAGACCGCUGCCUUUAACCGUGACAACUCUCAACAACGGAUGUCUUGGCUCUCGCAACGAUGAAGAACGCAGCGAAAUGCGAUACGUAGUGUGAUUUGCACUGUACGUGAACCAUCGAAUCUUUGAACGCAUAUUGCACUCGAGGCUUCGGCCAAGAGUAUGCCUGCCUGAGCGUCAGUGUGUACCCUCAUACCAAUUAAUUUUGGGAUGGAAAUGGACGUCCGAUCGGAGCCUGCGAAGGUUUCGAUGGGUCGGCUGAAAGGCAGUCGCGGUGCGACCGAUCGCACGAUCAGCGUGGUAGACCUAUUCAUAGGACGGAUCGCUCGGUCAGAUCGGUAACACUUCGAUCCGAAUACUGGUGCGUGUCUCGACUCCGCGGGCCCUUGCGGCUGGUGGAAUAAGAGCCGUGCCAUCUCACCUUUUGACCUCAGUUCAGACAAGGCUACCCGCCGAAUUUAAGCAUAUUACUAAGCGGAGGAAAAGAAAAUAACAAUGAUUCCCCUAGUAACGGCGAGCGAACCGGGAAGAGCCCAACUUGAAAAUCUGGAGGCUUGUCCUUCCGAAUUGUAGUCUAGAGAAGUGCCAUCUGCGGCUGGCUGGUCGAAAGUUCCCUGGAAAGGGACGUCAGAGAGGGUGAGAGCCCCGUCACGAUCGGUUAAGUCGCUCCACGAUGCGCUUUCGAGGAGUCGGGUUGUUUGGGAAUGCAGCCCUAAGCGGGAGGUAAAUUCCUUCUAAGGCUAAAUAUUGGCGAGAGACCGAUAGCGAACAAGUACCGCGAGGGAAAGAUGAAAAGACCUUUGAAAAGAGAGUUAAAAAGUACCUGAAAUUGUUGAGGGGAAAGCGAUUGAAACCAGCGGGUGCUCCUCGGGUAGGGUCAAACCACACGCCGAGGGCUGGUCAACGUGGGUUAGUCGGGCGGGAUAUUACGCUUGAUUGACCGAGGACUCGACGUUGGCGGAAUGGUUUCAAUCGGCCCGUCUAGAAACACGGACCAAGGAGUCUAACAUGUGUGCGAGUCGGUGGGUGACAAACCCACGAGGCGCAAGUAACCUGACUGAGCAAAUUCGACCGACCAUGAUCUUCUGUGAAAGGUUUGAGUGCGAGCGUACAUGCUGGGACCCGAAAGAUGGUGAACUAUGCGUGA
This 1319-nucleotide ribosomal RNA is filed under the name Micromonas commoda. RNAcentral describes it as "eukaryotic LSU rRNA". The stretch from base 598 to 1319 matches the Rfam family "Eukaryotic large subunit ribosomal RNA", at positions 1 to 840 of the family's 3401-position model. Lineage: Eukaryota; Viridiplantae; Chlorophyta; Mamiellophyceae; Mamiellales; Mamiellaceae. The record is from RNAcentral.